Non-coding RNA from Pteronotus mesoamericanus, 1512 nucleotides. NCBI's taxonomy places the organism in Eukaryota, Metazoa, Chordata, Mammalia, Chiroptera, Mormoopidae. The record is from the annotation of a RefSeq genome assembly.
AUGCUCCCCAUGGUCCUGGGGUGCAAAGCCCCAGAUGAAGGCGGCCUGGUGAUGCUGGCCUGCUUGGUGACAGAGUCCAUCCAACUGGUCACCCGCGUCCGGGUCGCCACGGAGAAGCGUGCACUUCAUGCGGUGCUGCUGGCUGUCACGGGAAUGUCCACAGGCCAAGGGCUGUGGUGCCUCUGGAAGCUGAGAGCCAAUCCCCCCACCACCACCAUCCCAGUCUCCUUGGCCUGGUCGAGCUGCCUCCGUGCCCUGUGGCCCAGGGUCACAUCCACUGGGUCUCCCCUCCACCCACCCCUGGGGGUCAUCACUGAGGCACCACCCCCAGGCCUCCUGUCUCCGUACCCCACUGCUGUCCUCAACGGGCUGUCCCAGAUUCUGAGGCUCCACUGUCGCCAGCUCCAGCCCCUGGCAGGUGGGGCCCAGCCAGCAGCCUCCACCACGGCCCCAAAGGUCUUCCCGCUGUCCCCCCGCUGUGGGGCCACAUCCGACUCCACGUUGUCUCUGGCCUGCCUGGUCUCCGGUUACUUCCCCGAGCCGGUGACUGUGUCCUGGAACUCGGGCGCCCUGACCAGCGAUGUGCACACCUUCCCAUCCAUUCUGCAGUCCUCGGGGCUCUACUCUCUGAGCAGCAUGGUGACAGUGCCUUCCAGCAGCGCGUCCAGUCAGACGUACACCUGCAACGUAGACCACCCGGCCAGCAGCACCAAAGUGAACAAGGAUGUGCCCAUUGGAAAUCCUGAACCAUCUUGCAAAUGCCCACCCGUUGACCCCCCGGGAGCACCUUCUGUCUUCCUCUUUCCCCCACAACCCAAAGACGUCCUGAUGAUCACCCUGACGCCAAAGGUCACAUGUGUGGUGUUAGACGUGCCCUCAGAUGACCUCGAAGUAGAGUUCACCUGGUACAUGGAUAACAAACUGCAGAAAACAUUAAAGAAGAAGCCGAAGGUGUUGCAGUUCAACAGCACCUACCAAGUGGAAGAUGAAUACCCCAUCAUGCACCAGGACUGGCUGAAGGGCAAGGAGUUCAAGUGCAAGGUCAAGAGCAACUCUGUCCCAGCCCCCAUCGAGAGGACCAUCCACAAGCCCAAAGGAACACUCAAGGUGCCACAGGUGUACACCCUGGCCCCACACCCGGACGAGCUGUCCAAGAACACCAUUAGUGUGACCUGCCUGGUCAAAGACUUCUACCCGCCAGACAUCAAUGUGGAGUGGAGGCAAAAUGAACAGCCAGAGCCGGAGUCCAAGUACAUCACGACCCCGCCACGGAAGGACAAGGAUGGGUCCUUCUUCGUGUACAGCAAGCUCUCCGUGGACAAAUCCAGGUGGCAACAGGGACAGGUCUUCGCGUGUGCGGUGAUGCACGAGGCUCUGCAUAGUCACUACACCCAGAAGCCCAUCUCCCAGACUUCGGGUAAAUGAGCAGCAUGCCCGGACCCAGCGACCCCCAUCCCAUGUACACACCCCAGGCUCAGCAUUAAAUAAAGCACCCAGCGCUGCCCUGGGACC